UGGGACCUACGGGGGGCAGCAGUGAGGAAUAUUGGUCAAUGGGCGAGAGCCUGAACCAGCCAAGUCGCGUGAAGGAUGACGGCCCUACGGGUUGUAACCUUCUUUUGUCAGGGAGCAAUUGAGUCCACGUGUGGUCUUAGCGAGAGUACCUGAAGAAAAAGCAUCGGCUAACUCCGUGCCAGCAGCCGCGGUAAUACGGAGGAUGCGAGCGUUAUCCGGAUUUAUUGGGUUUAAAGGGUGCGUAGGCGGAAUAUCAAGUCAGCGGAAAAAAUUCGGGGCUCAACCCCGUCGUGCCGUUGAAACUG
RNAcentral lists this ribosomal RNA (305 nucleotides) under uncultured bacterium. RNAcentral describes it as "bacterial SSU rRNA". It matches the Rfam family "Bacterial small subunit ribosomal RNA", at positions 331 to 635 of the family's 1533-position model. The record is from RNAcentral.